CCCUGUGUUUCAGGUGAUUACUGGCUGCCUCUGUCCUGGUCAUUGGUAACACAGGCUGAAGAGAAGCUGCAAGGUUUUCUGGAUGUUCACA
This is a small nucleolar RNA of Vulpes vulpes (red fox), 91 nucleotides long. Its record names the gene SNORA71. It matches the Rfam family "Small nucleolar RNA SNORA71". Rfam says of the family: The members of this family belong to the H/ACA class of snoRNAs which bind a number of proteins (including dyskerin, Gar1p and Nop10p) to form snoRNP complexes. The record is from Ensembl. Lineage: Eukaryota; Metazoa; Chordata; Mammalia; Carnivora; Canidae.